AUUAAUUUAAGAGCCGCAGUAUCCUGACUGUGCAAAGGUAGCAUAAUCAUUAGCUUUUUAAUUGGAAGCUUGUAUGAAGGGUUGGACAAAGAAAAUACUGUCUUUAUUAUUUAAAUUGAAAUUAACUUUUAAGUGAAAAGGCUUAAAUAAAUCAAAGGGACGAGAAGACCCUAUAAAGUAUUUUAUUGGGGCGAUAUAAAUAUAAAUUUUAACUGUUUUAAAUUUAUACAAUAAUAAUUGAAUAGAUCCUUUAAUUAAGAUUUCUAGGCUAAAUUACUUUAGGGAUAACAGCGUUAUUUUUUUUGAGAGUUCCUAUCGAAAAAAAAGUUUGCGACCUCGAUGUUGAAUUAAAAUGUCUUUAUGGUGCAGCCAUUAUAAAAGAAGGUCUGUUCGACCUUUGAAAUUUU
Molecule: ribosomal RNA, 407 nt
Filed under: Eucrate alcocki
Lineage: Eukaryota; Metazoa; Arthropoda; Malacostraca; Decapoda; Goneplacidae
Description: partial 16S large subunit ribosomal RNA
Rfam family: Bacterial large subunit ribosomal RNA
Source: RNAcentral